RNAcentral lists this ribosomal RNA (255 nucleotides) under uncultured bacterium. Its description in RNAcentral is "partial 16S ribosomal RNA". It matches the Rfam family "Bacterial small subunit ribosomal RNA", at positions 524 to 776 of the family's 1533-position model. The record is from RNAcentral.
UACAGAGGGUGCAAGCGUUUAAUCGGAAUUACUGGGCGUAAAGCGCGCGUAGGUGGUUUGUUAAGUUGGAUGUGAAAUCCCCCGGGCUCAACCUGGGAACUGCAUUCAAAACUGACAAGCUAGAGUAUGGUAGAGGGUGGUGGAAUUUCCUGUGUAGCGGUGAAAUGCGUAGAUAUAGGAAGGAACACCAGUGGCGAAGGCGACCACCUGGACUGAUACUGACACUGAGGUGCGAAAGCGUGGGGAGCAAACAGG